This 380-nucleotide ribosomal RNA is filed under the name uncultured bacterium. Its description in RNAcentral is "bacterial SSU rRNA". It matches the Rfam family "Bacterial small subunit ribosomal RNA", at positions 30 to 412 of the family's 1533-position model. The record is from RNAcentral.
AUUGAACGCUGGCGGCAUGCCUUACACAUGCAAGUCGAACGGCAGCACGGGAGCAAUCCUGGUGGCGAGUGGCGAACGGGUGAGUAAUAUAUCGGAACGUGCCCAGUCGUGGGGAUAACGUAGCGAAAGCUACGCUAAUACCGCAUACGAUCUAUGGAUGAAAGCGGGGGAUCGCAAGACCUCGCGCGAUUGGAGCGGCCGAUAUCAGAUUAGGUAGUUGGUGAGGUAAAGGCUCACCAAGCCGACGAUCUGUAGCUGGUCUGAGAGGACGACCAGCCACACUGGGACUGAGACACGGCCCAGACUCUACGGAGGCAGCAGUGGGGAAUUUUGGACAAAUGGGCGCAAGCCUGAUCCAGCAAUGCCGCGUGCAGGAUGAA